AGCGAACGCUGGCGGUAGGCCUAACACAUGCAAGUCGAACGGCAGCACAGUAAGAGCUUGCUCUUACGGGUGGCGAGUGGCGUACGGGAGAGGAAUACAUCGGACUCUACUUUUUCGUGGGGGAUAACGUAGGGAAACUUACGCUAAUACCGCAUACGCCCUACGGUUGAAAGCAGGGGAUCUUCGGACCUUGCGCGAAUGAAUGCGCCGAUGUCGGAUUAGCUAGUUGGCGGGGUAAAUGCCCACCAAGGCGACGAUCCGUAGCUGGUCUGAGAGGAUGAUCAGCCACACUGGAACGGAGACACGGUCCAGACGCCUACGGGAGGCAGCAGUGGGGAAUAGUGGACAAAGGGCGCAAGCCUGAUCCAGCCAUACCGCGUGGGUGAAGAAGGCCUUCGGGUUGUAAAGCCCUUUUGUUGGGAAAGAAAAGCAGCAGGUUAAUACCCCGCUGUUCUGACGGUACCCAAAGAAUAAGCACCGGCUAACUUCGUG
Molecule: ribosomal RNA, 492 nt
Filed under: uncultured bacterium
Lineage: Bacteria
Description: partial 16S ribosomal RNA
Rfam family: Bacterial small subunit ribosomal RNA
Source: RNAcentral